GAAAUGCGAUAAGUAAUGUGAAUUGCAGAAUUCAGUGAAUCAUCGAAUCUUUGAACCCACAUUGCGCCCGCCAGUAUUCUGGCGGGCAUGCCUGUCCGAGCGUCAUUUCAACCAUCAAGCCCCCGGGCUUGUGUUGGGGACCUGCGGCUGCCCGCAGGCCCUGAAAACCAGUGGCGGGCUCGCUGUCACACCGAGCGUAGUAGCAAUCACCUCGCUCAGGGCGUGCUGCGGGUUCCGGCCGUUAAACAGCCUUACAAAACCCAAGGUUGACCUCGGAUCAGGUAGGAAGACCCGCUGAACUUAAGC
RNAcentral lists this unclassified non-coding RNA (306 nucleotides) under plant metagenome. Its description in RNAcentral is "partial contains 5.8S ribosomal RNA, internal transcribed spacer 2, and large subunit ribosomal RNA". The stretch from base 1 to 105 matches the Rfam family "5.8S ribosomal RNA", at positions 50 to 154 of the family's 154-position model. The record is from RNAcentral.